ACGGGUGGGUAACGCGUGGGAACGUGCCUUCCGGUUCGGAAUAACCCUGGGAAACUAGGGCUAAUACCGGAUACGCCCUUAUGGGGAAAGGUUUACUGCCGGAAGAUCGGCCCGCGUCUGAUUAGCUAGUUGGUGGGGUAACGGCCUACCAAGGCGACGAUCAGUAGCUGGUCUGAGAGGAUGAUCAGCCACACUGGGACUGAGACACGGCCCAGACUCCUACGGGAGGCAGCAGUGGGGAAUAUUGGACAAUGGGCGCAAGCCUGAUCCAGCCAUGCCGCGUGAGUGAUGAAGGCCUUAGGGUUGUAAAGCUCAUUUAUCCGGGACGAUAAUGACGGUACCGGAGGAAUAAGCCCCGGCUAACUUCGUGCCAGCAGCCGCGGUAAUACGAAGGGGGCUAGCGUUGCUCGGAAUCACUGGGCGUAAAGGGCGCGUAGGCGGCGUUUUAAGUCGGGGGUGAAAGCCUGUGGCUCAACCACAGAAUGGCCUUCGAUACUGGGACGCUUGAGUAUGGUAGAGGUUGGUGGAACUGCGAGUGUAGAGGUGAAAUUCGUAGA
This 557-nucleotide ribosomal RNA is filed under the name uncultured Methylobacterium sp. RNAcentral describes it as "bacterial SSU rRNA". It matches the Rfam family "Bacterial small subunit ribosomal RNA", at positions 102 to 694 of the family's 1533-position model. The record is from RNAcentral. Lineage: Bacteria; Pseudomonadati; Pseudomonadota; Alphaproteobacteria; Hyphomicrobiales; Methylobacteriaceae.